RNAcentral lists this transfer RNA (75 nucleotides) under bacterium HR40. Its description in RNAcentral is "tRNA-Thr". It matches the Rfam family "tRNA". Rfam says of the family: Transfer RNA (tRNA) molecules are approximately 80 nucleotides in length. Their secondary structure includes four short double-helical elements and three loops (D, anti-codon, and T loops). Further hydrogen bonds mediate the characteristic L-shaped molecular structure. tRNAs have two regions of fundamental functional importance: the anti-codon, which is responsible for specific mRNA codon recognition, and the 3' end, to which the tRNAs corresponding amino acid is attached (by aminoacyl-tRNA synthetases). tRNAs cope with the degeneracy of the genetic code in two manners: having more than one tRNA (with a specific anti-codon) for a particular amino acid; and 'wobble' base-pairing, i.e. permitting non-standard base-pairing at the 3rd anti-codon position. The record is from RNAcentral.
GCCGGCGUAGCUCAAUUGGCAGAGCAUCCGCCUUGUAAGCGGGGGGUUGAGGGUUCGAGUCCCUCCGCCGGCACC